Molecule: ribosomal RNA, 220 nt
Filed under: uncultured bacterium
Lineage: Bacteria
Description: partial 16S ribosomal RNA
Rfam family: Bacterial small subunit ribosomal RNA
Source: RNAcentral
AGACAGCUCAGUUCAGAUUGUAGGCUGAAACUCGCCUAUAUGAAGUCGGAAUUGCUAGUAAUCGCGGAUCAGCAUGCCGCGGUGAAUACGUUCCCGGGCCUUGUACACACCGCCCGUCACACCAUGAGAGUCGGGAACACCCGAAGUCCGUAGUCUAACCGCAAGGAGGGCGCGGCCGAAGGUGGGCUUGAUAAUUGGGGUGAAGUCGUAACAAGGUAGC